This 103-nucleotide non-coding RNA is filed under the name uncultured archaeon. The record is from RNAcentral.
AAGAGCCGGAUGAGGGAAAUCUUCAUGUCCGGUUCUGUGAGGGGGCUUAUAGUAACCUUGGGGCUAUUACCCAACAAAAGGUGCGCUAUGGGCUCUACUCGAC